AUUACUCACAGCCGAUUUAUGGGCUGUGGUCUUUCGUGUUUUUUUCUACCACCAAAAGGUGGACUGGUUAUACUACGUCUCAUUUUUAUUCGUUGGUAUUGGUCUUGUCAUAUAUUCUAAAACGGAGAAGUAUUCUCCAGAACUACAAAAGGUCGAAAAUGGUGACCCGGACC
Molecule: long non-coding RNA, 173 nt
Organism: Erigeron canadensis
Lineage: Eukaryota; Viridiplantae; Streptophyta; Magnoliopsida; Asterales; Asteraceae
Exons: 3
Source: RefSeq, a predicted model, not a curated record